UCCGGUUUGGCACCGGCAGUCUCCCUAGAGUUCCCGACAUGACUCGCUGGCAACUAAGGACAGGGGUUGCGCUCGUUGCGCCACUUAAGGCAACACCUCACGGCACGAGCUGACGACAGCCAUGCACCACCUGUGCAGGCUCCGAAGAGCGCCCGCUUUCACGGGUUUCACCCUGCAUGUCAAGCCCAGGUAAGGUUCUUCGCGUCGCAUCGAAUUAAGCAACAUGCUCCGCCGCUUGUGCGGGGCCCCGUCAAUUCCUUUGAGUUUUAGCCUUGCGGCCGUACUCCCCAGGCGGGGUGCUUAAUGCGUUAGCUUCGGCACGGACGGGGUUGAUAUCCGCCCACACCUAGCAUCCACCGUUUAGGGCGUGGACUAC
Molecule: unclassified non-coding RNA, 376 nt
Filed under: uncultured Actinomycetes bacterium
Lineage: Bacteria; Bacillati; Actinomycetota; Actinomycetes
Description: uncultured actinobacterium contains 16S-23S intergenic spacer region
Source: RNAcentral